Molecule: ribosomal RNA, 463 nt
Filed under: uncultured bacterium
Lineage: Bacteria
Description: SSU rRNA
Rfam family: Bacterial small subunit ribosomal RNA
Source: RNAcentral
AGGAUUAACGCUGGCGGCGUGCCUAACACAUGCAAGUCGAACGAGGUAGCAAUACCUAGUGGCAGACGGGUGAGUAACGCGUGGUCAACCUACCGUUGAGUGGGGGAUAACUAGCCGAAAGGUUAGCUAAUACCGCAUACGAGGCUCGGGGGCAUCCCUGGGUCUUAAAAGGAGCAAUCCGCUCGAUGACGGGACCGCGUCCCAUUAGCUAGAUGGUGGGGUAAUGGCCUACCAUGGCUCCGAUGGGUAGCUGGUUUGAGAGAGCGACCAGCCACACUGGGACUGAGAAACGGCCCAGACUCCUACGGGAGGCAGCAGUGAGGAAUUUUCCGCAAUGGGCGAAAGCCUGACGGAGCGACGCCGCGUGUGGGAAGAAGGCCGUUCGGGUCGUAAACCACUGUCGAAGGGGACGAUAAUGACGGUACCCUUGGAGGAGCCCGGCUAACUACGCGCCAGCAGCCGC